This 639-nucleotide long non-coding RNA is filed under the name Mytilus galloprovincialis (Mediterranean mussel). Lineage: Eukaryota; Metazoa; Mollusca; Bivalvia; Mytilida; Mytilidae. The record is from RNAcentral.
AACAAUUCAAAGGAGAAAACUAACUGCCUAAUUUAUCCACAAAAUAGUGAACGAGAAACUUAGUUACACAGUAACAAACUACAACCACUGAAUCCAGGCUCCUGACUUGGAAAUAGGCACAUACAGAAUGUGACUGCGUCAACUUAAGCAUGCUAGUUGGUGUCCAAUCCUCCCCUAAUCAGGGACAGUGGUGUAAUAGUACAGCAUAAAGAUUAUUAUGUGGUCAUUGAAUAAAAAAAAUCUAUAGGGUGUACCAAUGCUUUUUUUAUAACAAAAUCCAUACUAUAAGUUAUUGUACAAGUAAUAAGUGAAUUAUAAUUUGUACAAAAUGCUACAUGUUCACAGACAACGGAAUUUAUUACAAAGGAUAAUAAUAAUAUAUACUGGAAUGGUCCUGGGUCCAAUUGAUUUUAAUAUGUUUAUGUGAUGUAUGUUACUGAAAUUCUUCUGCAAAUACAGGGCCACCCGAUAUUACCAGUAGAAAGACCCCAAUAGAUAUACAUUGUAAGAAGAUGUGGUAAGCGUGCCAAUGAGACUAUUAUCCAUUCAAAUCACAAUUUUCAAUUAUCUUCAAUUUCUACGGAAGAUUGGCUGUCAAAAUGCUAACAUUCCAAUUUUCAAUAACAGUUAACAGCAAAU